AAAUGCGAUAAGUAAUGUGAAUUGCAGAAUUCAGUGAAUCAUCGAAUCUUUGAACGCACAUUGCGCUCCUUGGUAUUUCUUGGAGCAUGCCUGUUUGAGUAUCAUGAAAUCUUCAAAGUAAAUCUUUUGUUAACUCAAUUGGUUUCUACUUUGGUAUUGGAGGUCUUUGCAGCUUCACACCUGCUCCUCUUUGUUCAUUAGCUGGAUCUCAGUGUUAUGCUUGGUUCCACUCGGCGUGAUAAGUUAUCUAUCGCUGAGGACACUGUAAAAGGUGGCCAAGGUAAAUGCAGAUGAACCGCUUCUAAUAGUCCAUUGACUUGGACAAUACUUUUAUGAUCUGAUCUCAAAUCAGGUAGGACUACCCGCUGAACUUAAGC
This 377-nucleotide unclassified non-coding RNA is filed under the name plant metagenome. RNAcentral describes it as "partial contains 5.8S ribosomal RNA, internal transcribed spacer 2, and large subunit ribosomal RNA". The stretch from base 1 to 104 matches the Rfam family "5.8S ribosomal RNA", at positions 51 to 154 of the family's 154-position model. The record is from RNAcentral.